RNAcentral lists this ribosomal RNA (240 nucleotides) under uncultured Rikenellaceae bacterium. Its description in RNAcentral is "partial 16S ribosomal RNA". It matches the Rfam family "Bacterial small subunit ribosomal RNA", at positions 1143 to 1382 of the family's 1533-position model. Lineage: Bacteria; Pseudomonadati; Bacteroidota; Bacteroidia; Bacteroidales; Rikenellaceae. The record is from RNAcentral.
GCGGAACUGCCAGCGUAAGCUGCGAGGAAGGUGGGGAUGACGUCAAAUCAGCACGGCCCUUACGUCCAGGGCUACACACGUGUUACAAUGGCCAGUACAGAGGGCAGCCACCCCGCGAGGGGGCGCUAAUCCUAAAAGCUGGUCCCAGUUCGGAUCGGAGUCUGCAACCCGACUCCGUGAAGCUGGAUUCGCUAGUAAUCGCGCAUCAGCCACGGCGCGGUGAAUACGUUCCCGGGCCUU